UGGGGAAUAUUGCACAAUGGGCGCAAGCCUGAUGCAGCCAUGCCGCGUGUGUGAAGAAGGCCUUCGGGUUGUAAAGCACUUUCAGCGAGGAGGAAGGGUAGUGUGUUAAUAGCACAUUGCAUUGACGUUACUCGCAGAAGAAGCACCGGCUAACUCCGUGCCAGCAGCCGCGGUAAUACGGAGGGUGCAAGCGUUAAUCGGAAUUACUGGGCGUAAAGCGCACGCAGGCGGUUUGUUAAGUCAGAUGUGAAAUCCCCGCGCUUAACGUGGGAACUGCAUUUGAAACUGGCAAGCUAGAGUCUUGUAGAGUGGGGGUAGAAUUCCAGGUGUAGCGGUGAAAUGCGUAGAGAUCUGGAGGAAUACCGGUGGCGAAGGCGGCCCCCUGGACAAAGACUGACGCUCAGGUGCGAAAGCGUGGGGAGCAAACAGGAUUAGAUACCCCUGGUAGUCCACGCUGUAAACGAUGUCGACUUGGAGGUUGUGCCCUUGAGGCGUGGCUUCCGGAGCUAACGCGUUAAGUCGACCGCCUGGGGGAGUA
Molecule: ribosomal RNA, 538 nt
Filed under: uncultured bacterium
Lineage: Bacteria
Description: partial 16S ribosomal RNA
Rfam family: Bacterial small subunit ribosomal RNA
Source: RNAcentral